Molecule: long non-coding RNA, 299 nt
Organism: Xenia sp. Carnegie-2017
Lineage: Eukaryota; Metazoa; Cnidaria; Anthozoa; Malacalcyonacea; Xeniidae
Exons: 2
Source: RefSeq, a predicted model, not a curated record
CUUAGAUGCUUCAUAUACCAACAAUGGAAAAUGGUCCAAAGAUCGCCAGACGGUUUUACAAGGAACUUACUGAUAUUCAGUAUGGAAAAGUUUCCAGUCCAUGGGCAUAUGUUGUAAAUGAUUCAUCUGAUGAGAACGAAAAUUUACAAGCUAUGAGUAUAAAUUAGUUGUUGUUUCUGGUUCAUAGAAACCUUUUUUGUCGUAUGUCAUAUGGACACUAAGAAGCUAAAUAUAACCCAUUUGUAGAAAACCUCAAUAAUAAAUACUUGUUUGACAGAAAGAAUUUAUGCUCGUUACCU